AAUCAAGUUCCCCAAUUUAUAUGAGCUGGAGCUUGGAUUCCUGGGAUGCCUCACUCACUUUUGCAGUGACAAUGUUGAGGGCAUUGAGUUCCCUCUGUUACGUAAAAUGCGCUUCUUUAAGUUAUCUGAGUUCCAAAAUUUCUGGCCUACAACCAACAACUCCAUCACUCACUCACAUCCUCUUUUUCAUGAAAAGGUUUCUUGUCCCA
This 209-nucleotide unclassified non-coding RNA is filed under the name Hevea brasiliensis (rubber tree). The record is from RNAcentral. Lineage: Eukaryota; Viridiplantae; Streptophyta; Magnoliopsida; Malpighiales; Euphorbiaceae.